RNAcentral lists this long non-coding RNA (959 nucleotides) under Phoenix dactylifera (date palm). RNAcentral's name for it is "long non-coding RNA (PDAC_LNC009162)". Lineage: Eukaryota; Viridiplantae; Streptophyta; Magnoliopsida; Arecales; Arecaceae. The record is from RNAcentral.
CCCAUUCCAAGCUUCACACGAUGAAGCCAUCAACAGCCCGUGCCAACGCCCAUGUCCCAGACUUUCCGUAAUCCAAGCCUCCCACGUCUGCUCCUCCCAACAUCGUGCGCAGCAGCCCGCGUUCUUCACGCGGUGAACGUCCCAGCAGCCGGUAAUCCAGCUCCUUCCGUCGUCUCCACCCUCUUUCGGAAACCCAGCAUCAACCCGUUCGCAGCUCCUCCCAGCGAUCCCGCAACGUCCCAGCUCUUCCGUGACCCAAGCACCGCGUCCGUGAUCGGCUCCUCCCAGCGAUCCCACGGCGUCCUCCCGUCGAUCCCGCGGCAUCAGCCUCCUUCCCGUGAUCCCAGCGCCUCACAGCCGCUCCAUUCCGUCUCCUCCGCGUCUGCAAGCAUUCCAUGAUCCAGCUUCCCGAAUCAGCGCCCCGCCAGCUGUGAUCCAGCCAUUUCCUUCUUCGUCUGCAGCUCCUCCGCCUCUGCUCCCUUCCGUUUCUUCAUCCCGCAGACCCCAGCCACGGAUCACCUUCCAGAUCCAGCCUCCUCCGCCUCUGAUUCUGCCUUGAUGCAGCCGAGAUUCCGCGUCCGUUCCGAAGAGGUGAUCCCGCACACGACCGCAGACCGCGCCCUCCUCCUCUCCCGGGAUCCAUCGCUGGCUUCAAGGUCUUCGGCGAUCUAUAAGAGGAGGACGGGAGGAGAAGAAAGAGAGCUCUCGGCGGGGAGAGGAUGGAGUGUUCGGUUUAGAAGAGAGAGAGAAAAAAAAUAGAAACAGAGCAUGGCUCUGUUUUGGUUUGAAAAAAAAAGAGAAUAAAAAAAAUAAGGGGAGGGGAAGAAAGGGGAGUUUUCUUGUUUUUUUUCUUCCUUGGUUUUUAUGUUUUAUUUUGUUGAAGGAGGAAGUAUUAGGCUUCCAAUCUUCAUUUUAUUUUUGUAAUUGCCCUUUUAUGCAAUCCAUACAUUUAUCUUUUA